Molecule: ribosomal RNA, 397 nt
Filed under: uncultured bacterium
Lineage: Bacteria
Description: partial 16S ribosomal RNA
Rfam family: Bacterial small subunit ribosomal RNA
Source: RNAcentral
AUACGUAGGUGACAAGCGUUAUCCGGAUUUACUGGGCGUAAAGGGCGUGUAGGCGGUCUUGCAAGUCAGAAGUGAAAUUCCUGAGCUCAACUUGGGCGCUGCUUCUGAAACUGCAGGACUUGAGUGCUGGAGGGGAUAGCGGAAUUCCUAGUGGAGCGGUAAAAUGCGCAGAUAUUAGGAAGAACACCGCUGGCGAAGGCGGCUAUCUCGACAAUAACGGACACUGAGGCGCGAACGCGUGGGGAGAAAACAGGCAGUGAUACCUUGCUAUCCCACGCCGUAAACGAUGAAUGAAAGGUGUAGGGGGUAUCGACUCCCUCUGUGCCGCAGUGAACACAAUAAGUAUUCCGCCUGGGGAGUACGGCCGCAAGGUUGAAACUCAAAUGAAUUGACGGGG